Molecule: ribosomal RNA, 468 nt
Filed under: uncultured bacterium
Lineage: Bacteria
Description: partial 16S ribosomal RNA
Rfam family: Bacterial small subunit ribosomal RNA
Source: RNAcentral
GACGAACGCUGGCGGCGUGCUUAACACAUGCAAGUCGAACGGAAAGGCCCUGCUUUUGUUGGGUGCUCGAGUGGCGAACGGGUGAGUAACACGUGAGUAACCUGCCCUGUACUUUGGGAUCACUUCAGGAAACUGGGGCUAAUACCGGCUAGGAGCUCCUGCUGCAUGGUGGGGGUUGGAACUUUGCGGCGGUUAGGGAUGGACUCGCGGCUUAUCAGCUUGUUGGGGGGGUAGUGGCUUACCAAGGCUUUGACGGGUAGCCGGCCUGAGAGGGGGACCGGCCACAAGGGGACUGAGGGACGGACCAGACGCGUACGUUAGGCAGCAGUGGGGACUAUUAUCCAAUCAGCGGAAGCCUGAUGCAGAGACGCCGCGGUCGGGAUGACGGCCUUCGGGUUGUGAACUGCUUUCGCCUGUGACGAAGCGUGAGUGACGGUAAUGGGUAAAGAAGCACCGGCUAACUACGUG